CAAGGCGACGAUCCCUAGCUGGUCUGAGAGGAUGACCAGCCACACUGGAACUGAGACACGGUCCAGACUCCUACGGGAGGCAGCAGUGGGGAAUAUUGCACAAUGGGCGCAAGCCUGAUGCAGCCAUGCCGCGUGUAUGAAGAAGGCCUUCGGGUUGUAAAGUACUUUCAGCGGGGAGGAAGGUGUUGUGGUUAAUAACCGCAGCAAUUGACGUUACCCGCAGAAGAAGCACCGGCUAACUCCGUGCCAGCAGCCGCGGUAAUACGGAGGGUGCAAGCGUUAAUCGGAAUUACUGGGCGUAAAGCGCACGCAGGCGGUCUGUCAAGUCGGAUGUGAAAUCCCCGGGCUCAACCUGGGAACUGC
RNAcentral lists this ribosomal RNA (363 nucleotides) under Salmonella enterica. Its description in RNAcentral is "bacterial SSU rRNA". It matches the Rfam family "Bacterial small subunit ribosomal RNA", at positions 269 to 624 of the family's 1533-position model. Lineage: Bacteria; Pseudomonadati; Pseudomonadota; Gammaproteobacteria; Enterobacterales; Enterobacteriaceae. The record is from RNAcentral. RNAcentral also lists the same sequence under 1 other name.